UACGUAGGGGGCUAGCGUUGUCCGGAAUCAUUGGGCGUAAAGAGCUCGUAGGCGGCUAUUCAAGUCGAACGUGAAAUCUCGGAGCUCAACUCCGAGCCUGCGUUCGAUACUGGGUAGCUAGAGUCUGGUAGGGGAGUCUGGAAUUCCUGGUGUAGCGGUGGAAUGCGCAGAUAUCAGGAGGAACACCGGUGGCGAAGGCGGGUCUCUGGGCCGAUACUGACGCUGAGGAGCGAAAGCGUGGGGAGCGAACAGG
This 253-nucleotide ribosomal RNA is filed under the name uncultured bacterium. Its description in RNAcentral is "partial 16S ribosomal RNA". It matches the Rfam family "Bacterial small subunit ribosomal RNA", at positions 524 to 776 of the family's 1533-position model. The record is from RNAcentral.